AUUGAACGCUGGCGGCAGGCCUAACACAUGCAAGUCGAACGGUAACAGGAAGAAGCUUGCUUCUUUGCUGACGAGUGGCGGACGGGUGAGUAAUGUCUGGGAAACUGCCUGAUGGAGGGGGAUAACUACUGGAAACGGUAGCUAAUACCGCAUAAUGUCGCAAGACCAAAGAGGGGGACCUUCGGGCCUCUUGCCAUCGGAUGUGCCCAGAUGGGAUUAGCUAGUAGGUGGGGUAACGGCUCACCUAGGCGACGAUCCCUAGCUGGUCUGAGAGGAUGACCGGCCACCCUGGAACUGAGACACGGUCCAGACUCCUACGGGAGGCAGCAGUGGGGAAUAUUGCACAAUGGGCGCAAGCCUGAUGCAGCUAUGCCGCGUGUAUGAAGAAGGCCUUCGGGUUGUAAAGUACUUUCAGCGGGGAGGAAGGGAGUAAAGUUAAUACCUUUGCUCAUUGACGUUACCCGCAGAAGAAGCACCGGCUAACUCCGUG
This 490-nucleotide ribosomal RNA is filed under the name uncultured bacterium. Its description in RNAcentral is "partial 16S ribosomal RNA". It matches the Rfam family "Bacterial small subunit ribosomal RNA", at positions 30 to 507 of the family's 1533-position model. The record is from RNAcentral.